This 301-nucleotide ribosomal RNA is filed under the name uncultured bacterium. Its description in RNAcentral is "partial 16S ribosomal RNA". It matches the Rfam family "Bacterial small subunit ribosomal RNA", at positions 509 to 809 of the family's 1533-position model. The record is from RNAcentral.
CAGUCGCCGCGGUAAUGCGAAGGGUGCAAGCGUUAAUCGGAAUUACUGGGCGUAAAGCGUGCGUAGGCGGUUUGUUAAGUCUGUUGUGAGAUCCCCGGGCUCAACCUGGGAAUGGCAAUGGAUACUGGCAAGCUAGAGUGUGUCAGAGGAUGGUGGAAUUCCCGGUGUAGCGGUGAAAUGCGUAGAGAUCGGGAGGAACAUCAGUGGCGAAGGCGGCCAUCUGGGACAACACUGACGCUGAGGCACGAAAGCGUGGGGAGCAAACAGGAUUAGAUACCCCCGUAGUCCCUGUCUCUUAUAA